This is a long non-coding RNA of Motacilla alba alba, 9666 nucleotides long. RefSeq lists it as uncharacterized. The transcript has 4 exons. Lineage: Eukaryota; Metazoa; Chordata; Aves; Passeriformes; Motacillidae. The record is from RefSeq and is a predicted model, not a curated record.
CGAGGGUCUCCGCUGAACUCCCACCUCCUCUGCCCGGCAACACUCGGCCUCUGCCGUCCCUCUUAUCCCGGCCCGUGCCCGCCCCGCCGCGCCCAUUGGCGGCCGGGCCGGGCCGCGCCUCCCGCCGGGCCCGGGGCGGGGCGGGGUCUGCCGGGGCUGUCCCGCAUCACCCCCGGGACGGGGCCGGGAGCGCCCGGGGGCGAUGCGGGGCCUCCCUGGGGGCCCGCCCCAGCGCCGGAGCCGCUAGGUUGGGUAAUGUUUGUCCAGGUAUUUACUCCGAGCGUUGUCGGGCCGGAGAUAGUGGCAGCACCCUGGUGGAAUUUAACCCGGAGGGCCUUAACAUGGGGAGCUGGCAGAACGAAGUAAAAAAUAAGUCUGGAGGCAAAGAGACGCGUAUGACGGGUGUGGGCAGCCCCAGCGCCGUCCGUGUGCUCCGGUGAGGGCUCCUGCUCGGGUCAGGUUGUGGCGGCGGCUCCAGUGCUGCCCUGGUGGUCUCCGGCCGUGGGUGCCCCCGGCAGCCCCACCCGCUCCUCCCGGCGGGGACAGCUGCUGCCUUUGCGCUUCUGCCAGAGGUUUCGUAGAACGCAGCCGGCAGUGCCAUUUCCAUGAGGCUGGCAUCAAGCAUAGUAUCUCCCACUGGGCGCAGCAGCAUGGUGGUGACACUGCUGCCAGAAACAUUUCCAGGAAAGUCCUUCUAUUCCCCCAUGUUUUCGUAUCUGAAAAUUGCUUUCUUUGGGUAUUUUGUUUUGGUGUUUUGUUUUUGGUUUGUUUUUUUCUUUGUUUUCCUUUUUUAUUUUUUCUGCUUCUGGACCCAAGUUCGGUAAAAGGUGUUUUAACACUGGUUGUGGCUGGUGUUUAUGUGCAUAACAUCCAGUAAUACCUACUGGAAAACACUGUGACACCAGGAGUUGCUGCACAGAUGAGAUACUAGUGGGGUGGACUUGGUUUUCAUGUAAGCAGUUGUAGACAAACUUCGAUUUUUAACAGGGAAUUUGUCUACAGUAGUACAAUAACUGCAGGUUGUAUGAGGUUCACCCUUAAACCCUUGUGGAGGCAGCAUUGCUGAUGGCUUUAGCUUAUAAAUUUUAGAACAUACAGUUAGUGUAAAAAUCAGGGUUUGCAGACUAUUACACAACAGUGAAAAGGAAGAAAUCAUAUGAUAUGUACUUCUCACUUUUUUUGAUGUCUUAAGACACACAGUGUAUUGCUAAAACAAGCAAUACAUGUUUCUUUACCCAGAUAAUCUCAGGAGCAUUCUUUGGCCUAAGAAAACUUGACAAACCCAAAUACAGAUACAUUGAAGGAAUUCUCUUGUCUUUUUAAAGCAUCUGUGCAAGUCCUCUAUGCAGUUGUAUCUUUCCAGCAUAGAACUUUUCACUUCAUAAUCAAUUCACAUUUAAAUGCCUCAGGAGAGUUAAAUAUAACAUCACCUAGUUCAAUUAACUUAUAAUAAGGGAUUUUUUUCUUGAGUUUUGAGGUUUUUUUGAGAUGUGUGGCAUUUGAAAAUACUUAACAGCUUUUUGCUGAUUUCUUUUUUGUGCAAUUGGAUUUCUCAGUCCUGUUUAAGUUAGCUUUGUGUAUGCAAUUGUAUCUGGUAUUGACUGAGCAUUGAAAGACCACAAGUAAAUUAUCAAUGAACUAUGGACAAUAAGUUUUUUUCUUAAAGGACAAGAUGUUUAGCUGGUGUGACAGGAGGUAAUGUCUAAAUUACAGAAGGUCUUGCACCAUAAGUCACAUGUCUGCUGUUCUGUAAUGUGCCCUGAGAUGCAUGAAGACAAACUGAUGCUUUUCUAGAUGAUAUGAGGUCUUGUCUCUUGGGGGAAGUUACCAUGCAGUCAGCUAACAUAUGAUACCACUGUGCUGUUCUCUCCUCCUGAACACUCUUGGUGCACGUACACAUGCACACACGCGCACGCCCACACAUACACACACAGGAGUCAAAUACUUUUUUAAUAUGAAGACAAAUUCACCCUACCAGUUUAUUUAACAACUGUUCAUAGGGCAGUCUUAGCUGAGAAUUUGUUGAAAUCCUUGAAGGAGACAGGAAUACUUUCAUCUUCAGCAUGUUGACUUAGGCUUGUACUGAGUCAUAAGUGUUGUGCGGAUAUAUCAAUUCCCUAGAUUUUUAGCUAAGGACAUUUGAGAGCCCAGGUGGAAAAAUGUCAGCAUAUGCAAGGAAAACCAGCACAGCAACCAUCAUGGUCAGAAUUUGGUCAUCACAAGAGUGGCCAUUUAGAAACCUGUGAUAGGAAGCUGAACUAGGACCACCUCCAACUCCUGGAUGCACAUUUCCUCUCCGAGAAUUUUAUUAUAAUGUAUCAACGUGAACACCGACAGUCACAUUGCAGCAGCUGUUCAUUAUUUCAGGCAAGGUAAAACACCACGUUACACAGCUACUAGGUAUCCCUCUGUUACUGUCCCUGCCGCUCCUGCCUGUGCGCCACGAUGUGUUCACAAGCCAAACUGUAAGCCCAGUGUGGUGAUGGUCUGCUGAAGUGAACAGAUGAUCAGUGGCAGCAGUUACAGGUAAUAACUGGGCAGAUACUGAUAGAAAUAAUUUUGCAUUUAACUGUGCAGCCUUGUGACAGUAUGCUACAGUCACACCAGCCCUAGCAGCCUUUGCUAUAUUGUAAACCUCUCUGUGGGGACUGAGCCAUGCACUCCUUCUAUGUUAGCAGGGAGAAGAGAUGAAAUCAAGAGCUCCUACAGUUCCUCUGCUUAAAAGCUCAGUUGAAACCAUCCAGUCCAGAGGAGAUGUAGUUAGCCAUGCUAAUCACAGUAGUCAGUGUUGUGUCUGCAAUAAUCCAAAGAUCAAAACUUGGAAGGAAGACACUUGUCCAUUACUUUAAAUGUCUCAGUUUCAGAAGAUAACUUUCCAAACUGUUUUCUUAAAAACCUCAGCUUUUGAGGAACUCUACAUAUAUAAAACUCCAGGUAUUUUGCUAAAGACAUACCACUCUUUUAAGAGAGAGGAGCAACACCUUUUAAUAACUAGUCAUGCCACCAUUGCAACAGCCAGAAAGUGCCAAUUCCACUGCAGCUAUCAGGUCCUACAAGCUACCAGAUAACAGAGUCUAUACAUUUCCAAAUAGUGCCAAGAACUUGCAUAGCAGUGUGUUGCCCCUGAAGCUGAAGGAGUCAAUUCAGCAUUGAAUCUCCAGGGACAGAUCUAAUCAACUGUGCUGCUGCAGUUUCCAAGUGUGGUUGGUACGGCACAAGUUGCUGCAUCACAUAUGUGCAGCGCAAUGCUCUCUCCUCCUUUGGAACCAAUCUACUUCUUUGAAUCCAGGACUUUGAAACUUUUUUGGUACUUUUAAGUCCUUACCAUUCGUUCUCCUGGUACAAAUACACAGAGGAAGGGACCAAUCUGCAUCUGCCAGAAGACGAUCCAGCAAUUAGAAAAGCUAAGCUCCUUUGUAAUGGCAAUCGACUUGCCAAGCUACAGGAGGCUGGCAAUAUGUAAAAACCAUCUGAGCAAUGUUAACAGAAUAAGCUAUGUCACACUCAACUGUGACAAGACUGUGUGAAUAAGCAGCUCCCCUAGACCAGCAAUCUAACUCAUGAGCCAUGAUCUUUACUGAAAUAAAAACAAGUGGCUUUUGUGCAUGCCAUUUUAUUUGAAUAGCAAAGGUGGGACAUUUAUUUUAUUUAAUCAAAGUGCUGGAGAUAUCAAUUACUACUGAGACUAAAUUCAGGAUUUUUGUUCAUGAUAUAAAAAUAUUGAACUGGCUUACUUAAAAAGCUAUGCAUGUGAACCUGUUUGUUUAUACAAACAUUAAAGUCCUCUAGCUUACAAUUUAGUUUCUGUCAUUUCACCAUACUACACUAUGGCUUAAGAAUAGAUUUCUACAGGAGUAUGGUCUCAGUCAAAAUGUAUUUCAAUGUCAUAUAGCCUAAAAUGCAAAUUACUAUAUUUCAUAGCGAGCUUUUACCGACCAGCUUCCAUUAGGUGCUACCAAAACAAAACAAAAUAAAACAACAAACAAACAAAAAAAGAAAAUAAAAACAAAUUUAAAAAUUCAUAUUCUGUUUAGCCAAAAAUUGAUCCAGUUUAGAAAGUCAGAGUUGCAUUGCAGAGAAUACUGUGCUGAUUUUACAUCCCAGAGUCUGAUUUGUGUGUAAGAAAUGCCAGUCAUACUUGUCUUUUGGAAAAUGAAACUUUAAAAAAUACAGGCCAAAUUUCUUUUCUAAAAAAUUAUGACGAUUUUCUUCUACCUUAUAGUAAAUGUUCUUCUUGCAAGAAAAAAGCAUUGUAAAUUUCCAAAACUAGAGUGACUGCUUCAGAAAGCUGGGAGGAUAUGAGAAAACAAUUGCAGUAGGGAUAUCCUUAUGCUGCUUGCUUUAAUACUUAUUAUUAGUGGUACACUCAGAAAAGUUUUAGGAACUGCAGAUAUUUUUUACCUAAAUUGAUUUGAGCAUGCUUGAGAAAAAGGCUACCAAAUAAACAUGAGUGGUUUCUCUUCUUCUGUGCAGUUCCAUGAAAAUAACCAACUUUCUCCCCCAGCCUAGGCAUUCCUCACCACAAAUUUGAGAUGGCUCCUGACUUUAUAAUGUCCCUCUGGGAUUAACAACGUUCGUUCAUUAGUAGUCUCUUAAGAAUCUUUGUUUUGGAUUCUCCCUAGUAAAAUACAACAUUCCAACUGCUUCAGCUGGAGCAUAAGCCAUAAUGAGGUUAGUUGCAUCAUUUUUAGGUUAGAAAAGGAAGCAGCAUUUGCUUCAAGGGAACCCAGAUAAGUUCUGUGAGUGUUCCGAAGACCUGGGAGAUGGCUGAGGAACAGUGACACAAUCCUUCUGAACUUCUUUGUUUUCAGUGGUCUUGUGAUCUACCAGAAUCACCAUUUCCUCACCCAAGUGCUAGAUAAGAAACCACAUUCCAGCUUCUCUGCUGGCCCACGAGGCAGAGACGACUUCGUUUGCAUCUCAAUGUCUCACCUAGUCACAGGAGUUGGGAAAUGAUGCAAGGGAUUGCUUGCCUUGCAAGAAAGACCGGGUGGGGGUCCUCCCCUACUUCGGGGUUAGGGUUUCUCAUAAGCAAUACUCUGUUUCUGUGAGGUUUUUUGAUGAAGGUAUUUUUUGUAUGUGUGGGGGGGAAAAAGAGGUUUUUUGUUCUCCUUUUUUCUUUUACCUUAUUUUUUUAUAGAGGUUAAAUACUGAGUUUGAAGUCAGCUUUGAAGCUUUGACCAUUGUGUAACUCACAUGCUUAAAAUUCUAAACUUUGAUUGAUUCCUGAUUCAUUACUCAAUGUCUCUUCCUGAUUUCUGGCAGGUAGUAAUUUCUGUGUUUUGGGAGAUUUGAAAGCUAACCAGGGGAAAUAGUGGGAGUAUGCAGGGAAGUAUCAUAAAUUGUUGGUAUAGAAGUUUACAAAUAUAGAAUAAUUUUCACAUUGUACUGAUGUUUGUCUAAAAUUUAAAGGUAAUUGGUGUUUUUUCCUCCUUAUACUAAGAAGGAUACUAAAAUUUUUUUCUCAAAAGUAUUAACUAUUUCCUGACUCUCCUAAUUUAAAAUUUUAUUUUAACAAGUUGGAAGUUGUAAAUCCAGUCAGUAUUAUAAGAUUCCUCUGACCGAGAUAAAUUUUUUACUGCCCAUCAGUACUCUACAGAUCACAGUGAAAGCAUUUUAACAGAUUUCAAAGAAGGUGUGGGUAGGAUUUCACAUACUAUUUAAUAUUUGAAAUCACUUUUUGUUUUGGUUUAAUGAUCCAACAUUUCUAUUUUGAGAUGGAAAUAGUAAUAAAGUUCAGAGAAGCAGAAAUCUUUCAGUGUUUGAUUAUGAUGUUUGUGCUUCUGCAAGCCAUUGUAAACAGUUGCAUAGCAUGAAAGACAAUUCUGUCUCUUGGAGCUGUAGUGUCUAAAGUGCAAGCUGACAUGCUGGAAAGCAUUUCCCAUGAUAAGGUUAGAGACAGUGAGGUGAGGAAUUAUUUUUAAACUUAAAAGUUACAGGCUGGGCUUCAUUAACAGAUCAUGUGAGAGAAGGUUAAACAAAAGCUGCUUGCAGAAGAGGAGAGAGGCUAUUGAAACAAUCGAAUAUGGGUCAAAAGUUUGUUUUCCUGAAAAUCAGUGCAGAAAACAUCUGAGGACAGGGAGAAAUGUGAGGAGGAUGCAUCAUUGGUGCCUUGUUUACCCAGACUGUGGAUGAACGAGGGCUUCCCUUUCCCAAGACUCUUUCUGCAUCAUGGGGAGUAAUGGGGAGUAAUAAAGAGGACUUGUCAUUGCCUCCAGCUGCCAUUUAAAACUGUCUCUGCUCCCUGCAGAAAGCAGUGGAGAUGUUUUCCAAAGGUAUAUCCAUGGGAAAUUCAGAGAUCACAUCCACACUGUGCAGCUGAAUUUUGUCUGAGUUGAGCACAUGGUUAAACUGAUGGUAGAAAGAGGCCCUUGGGACUAUCAUGUUUAUCUAAAAAGCACCCAAUGCACUCGCUUUGACCUGUGCUCUCCUGUGCAAUGCCUAGUUCACCUGGUGCCACAGGCAGUAUUUCACAUGAGUGAUGUAGCAUUCUUUCCUGCAGUGAGCAAUUUAAAGCAGAAAGGUGGGUCUGAUAAGGAAACUGUGAAAAUACUAUGCUAGCAUGGAAGACUGAACAUUUAAAUAACUGAACAUCCUUAGUGAAGAUGAAUGUAUGAAACAAGGCAGAAUUUCUCUCUGGCAUGCUUUUCUUUGGUGACUGUGGGAAUUCCGUAGAGCUUUCCUAGCCAUGAUAGUAAGAAACAGGACAAAUGCAUGGUGCUAAGUGACAGCUGGGGAGGCUGUUCUUCCUGUAACUUUCCUUCACCUUCUGCUGAAAAAUAUUCUCCCUGUUUUGCUAAGUACAAACCAACCGUAUGUCUUGGAGAAUGAAUGGCAAAUAGGAAGCCACAUGGUAGCUUUGUAUUAAUCUAUUAAUAUCUGUUCUGUAGACCCAAAUUGGCACCCGAUUAAGUUCCUUUCUGUAUUUUCCUGGGAUGGCAGCAAUAAGUGAUUUGCAAAACAUUUCUCAGGCAGGUGUUAUUACCUGGGAUAAAAAGGACUGGAAAUCUUCCUCUUUCCAUUAGCACUUGCAAACUUUGAAUGCCUUGAUUCAGUUCUUGAAGCCAACAUGGAACCAGUGUUAAUUCAUCAGUUUAAACAUUCAUGCAGCUCCUUUAUGAGCUUCUAAAAGCAGAUUGAUACUGCAGAUGAUGCCUUAAGAUGAUGCCUCUGACACCUGUACUGGUACCUGACUACCAGGUCUAGGAGCUGCAAGUGAUAUUUCCUUCUGACUGUGAGCAACUGAGGAAAUUUAGCCCAUCCUAUCUGAUGUUAAUUUGGUUAUGGUGACUCACCUCUUUCCAUGUUUUCCAAGGAAAUUGUUACAACAUUCUCUAGCUGCCAACACAGUCCCCAGAGGUCUGUAGAAAAUUUUUAUUUGAAGUGUUCUAAUUGUAGAGGAUGGUACUUAAUUUCUUAAGUAUAACCAAAUCUGAGUCUAAUCCUACCUAUCAGGUGUUAUUGGAAAAUACUUCUGAAGAAAUAUCUUUCCUGCUUCUUCUGCAGAUACAUACAUACCUUAGGAAUGAUGAAAUAAUCCGUACUAUAGGCUUAGGAGAGUAGGAUAUGUUUCUGUCCUACAACUCAUCUGCACCUACACUGAUUUUCAUAUGCACUGACACAUUGCCUUUGGCACAAAAUUCCAGACUUGUACUUGUUGUUUUUCCACUAAUAAAAAUUUUGGCUUUGCAGUAAUUGAUUGCACUCAGCACUCUGCAGGAUACUUUUUUCUCACAUUUGCAGCCAACAGAAAGAUGUAAAAAUGAUACAAAGUUGUAGUGCUUUGUAGGUAAAUUUAGCAAUGGAGGGAUUCGCUGCUAACCUUCUCCCUGCGCUUCUUUUGCUUAGCUGAUUGCUACAUCUGUUUUGACUUGUAAGCAGUCCUGUGUAGGGGGGUCUGAAAGUGAAGCUGAUUCAUCUUUCAUGGGAAACAGACUAGUCAAACUAUACUUCUUUGUGGCCAGCCUAAAAACGUUGAUUUUGCAAUGCAAUGAGCAGGUCAAAAAGUGAAGCACAGGAUGACUCAAAGAGUCAUACACAUGCUGUCUUUUAACAUCAGCAGUCUAGCCCCUGUAAUGCAAGACCUUUCCCCUCUCUGCCACGUUUCUCUGACAGCAGUUUUGAAAAGUACAAAUUCAUCCUCCCCUCCCUGUGCACCACAUGCUGGUGUCUCACUCAGUCCUUACUCAUGCAGAUUCCAACCCUCUCCCCCAGCCCUCCAGCUUCAAUUGCUGAGGUGCAGCAGAAACAUCCUGACUAUACUUCCAACACAUAUAGUCCAGAUAUAAACACAUACUGCUAGUUAACUUCCAGAUAACACAUAUACUUCCAGUCUCCAGGUGUGUUACAGUCAGCUGUGACUGCGUCUGAAUCCAUAGGGAGCAUACCUCACCAAGCUGCAUUCGAAUCCUGUGCAGUUACAACAGAGUGCGUAUGCAUGAGCCUGGACACAGAGCCACCAGAUAUGCCUAGACCAUUGCAGCAGGUGAUACAUUUCUGCAGGAAGAGUAUGUGUGGGCUCAGGCUGUCAGCAUCUCUUUGCUGAGAAAUCCAUGUAAGAUGCAGCAUGUCCAAGCAUUCACUCCUGUUUGAGACCCCCUUGUCUCCCUGCCCUAAAUUCUUCUUAAUCUUCCUCUCUACCUAGCAUAUGUGAGUGCAUAUUGGUAGUGUAGGUGUCCUAGGCUUGGUGACAGCAGGAGCCAGAGUUUGGGCAAGGUGGUCCAGGUCUGCCAUGUCUCAGGGCAGGCCAGUGAAUUUUAAGCUACGUCCAACUGACUCAGCAACAUAAUUGCGUUCUGAAAAACAAUCUGUAAAUAUGCAUGUGUUGGAUUUGGACCUCACCCAAAGUAGUCUGGCUGGUGCAGAAACGCUAGGUCCGUUUGGUUAAUGCAAAACUGAACCAGAUCCACAGAGAUCCUCAGCUGCUGGUCCCACUGCUCUUGUAAAGCUUGUUAUGAUAAAUGGUGUAGCCAUACAGAGGAAUACCAUCCGUUCCCUUCUAUAUACUGCUCAUCUGACUUUUGAAGACCCAAGUACUUCUACCUGCAAAGUCUGAGUGGCUUGGCUGUAACCCUUUUGGAAAACUUAGGCAUUGUUGAAAACCUAUUUCAUUUUGCUUUUCCAUCCACUGCCUUGUCUGCCUUGUCUUCUGAGUCGGACAGUGUCUGAAAAGAAAUGUGAGUGAAUUUCUUUUUUUUUUUUUAUGCAGUGGACUGACUUUAACAAAUAAAAAUCAAAUAAAAAUAAAUUUCAAUAUUGUGCAGAUGCUUUUAGGAUAGCUUCAAAGAUACUCCAAUGCUCCAUCUCCUCUGACUUAGCCAACAGCAUGUUUCAUUUACUUUCUUUGGAGUUACAAUUUGGGCAUUACUCCUCCAUUUCAUUGUCAAAGCUGAAAUAGUGAUACAGUUCAAAUUGAGGCACCUGUUUUAAAUAAUGAUGCUGUAACACAGCAUCUCUGCAAGAAAAAGAUUGCAAUGAAUUAGGGAAGUAACUUUUCCUUUGAGGGAGCAACACAACCAGCAGAUGUUUAGGACCUGGCACUGGCUCCAGCACAGGCAGCUCUAAAAACUUCACUGUUGCUCUCUAUAAAGACUUGACCAUUUAGGAAACCAGCUCCUUUCUAAACCUCCUGGCUCUGUCAAAUAUGUGACAUUUGGGAGUUUCAUA